GUGGGGAAUCUUGCGCAAUGGGCGAAAGCCUGACGCAGCCAUGCCGCGUGAAUGAUGAAGGUCUUAGGAUUGUAAAAUUCUUUCACCGGGGACGAUAAUGACGGUACCCGGAGAAGAAGCUCCGGCUAACUUCGUGCCAGCAGCCGCGGUAAUACGAAGGGGGCUAGCGUUGCUCGGAAUUACUGGGCGUAAAGGGCGCGUAGGCGGACAGCUUAGUCAGAGGUGAAAGCCCAGGGCUCAACCUUGGAAUUGCCUUUGAUACUGGCUGUCUUGAGUUUGGGAGAGGUGAGUGGAAUUCCGAGUGUAGAGGUGAAAUUCGUAGAUAUUCGGAAGAACACCAGUGGCGAAGGCGACUCACUGGCCCAAUACUGACGCUGAGGCGCGAAAGCGUGGGGAGCAAACAGGAUUAGAAACCCGGGUAGUCC
RNAcentral lists this ribosomal RNA (425 nucleotides) under uncultured bacterium. RNAcentral's name for it is "partial 16S ribosomal RNA". It matches the Rfam family "Bacterial small subunit ribosomal RNA", at positions 354 to 796 of the family's 1533-position model. The record is from RNAcentral.